GACGAACGCUGGCGGCGUGCCUAAUACAUGCAAGUCGAGCGAACAGACUAUGACGUUGCUCCCUACACGUUAGCGUCUGACGUGCGAGUAACACGUGGACAACCUACCUAUCUGACUGGUAUAACUUCGGGAAACUGGAGCAAAUUCCGUAUAAUAUAUUGAUCUGCAUUGUUCAAUAGUGAAAGAUGGUUUUGUUCUCUUUCAUCGAUGGAUCCCGGCCGUAUUAUCUAGUUGGUAAGGUAACGGCUUACCAAGCCAACGAUCCUUAGCCGACCUCGGAGGGUGAUCGGCAACACUGGAAUGAGAAAACGGUCCGGACUCCUACGGGAGGCGGCGGAAGGGAAUCUUCCGCAUGGGGGGAAGGCCUAACGGGGCAACGCGGCGUGGGUGAUGAAGGUCUUCGGUUCGUAAGACUCUGUUAUUAGGAAGAAACAGAUGUGGAGGGGACUGUGCACGUCUUGACGGUACCUUAUCAGAAAGCCACGGCUAACUACGUG
Molecule: ribosomal RNA, 497 nt
Filed under: uncultured bacterium
Lineage: Bacteria
Description: partial 16S ribosomal RNA
Rfam family: Bacterial small subunit ribosomal RNA
Source: RNAcentral